Molecule: transfer RNA, 71 nt
Filed under: Coprinellus micaceus
Lineage: Eukaryota; Fungi; Basidiomycota; Agaricomycetes; Agaricales; Psathyrellaceae
Rfam family: tRNA
About the family: Transfer RNA (tRNA) molecules are approximately 80 nucleotides in length. Their secondary structure includes four short double-helical elements and three loops (D, anti-codon, and T loops).
Source: Rfam by way of RNAcentral
GGCCGCCUGGCGAAAUGGCAUCGCGUCUGACUACGAAUCAGGAGAUUGCAGGUUCGACCCUGCGGUGGUCA